Molecule: ribosomal RNA, 363 nt
Filed under: uncultured bacterium
Lineage: Bacteria
Description: bacterial SSU rRNA
Rfam family: Bacterial small subunit ribosomal RNA
Source: RNAcentral
AACGAACGCUGGCGGCAUGCCUAACACAUGCAAGUCGAGCGCCCGUAGCAAUACGGGAGCGGCGCACGGGUGAGUAACGCGUGGGAACCUGCCCAGAGGUUCGGGACAACCGCGGGAAACUGCGGCUGAUACCGGAUGAUACCUGAGGGUCAAAGAUUUAUCGCCUUUGGAGGGGCCCGCGUCGGAUUAGGUAGUUGGUGGGGUAAUGGCUUACCAAGCCUAUGAUCCGUAACUGGUCUGAGAGGAUGACCAGUCACACUGGGACUGAGACACGGCCCAGACUCCUACGGGAGGCAGCAGUGGGGAGUACUGGACAAUGGGGGCAACCCUGAUCCAGCAAUGCCGCGUGGGUGAUGAAGGCCU